AUUGAACGCUGGCGGCAUGCUUUACACAUGCAAGUCGAACGGUGUGAGGGGGCAACUCCUCAUUCAGUGGCGAACGGGUGAGUAAUGCAUCGGAACGUGUCCCGUAGUGGGGGAUAACGCCGCGAAAGCGGCGCUAAUACCGCAUACGCUCUACGGAGGAAAGCGGGGGAUCGCAAGACCUCGCGCUAGGGGAGCGGCCGAUGUCCGAUUAGCUUGUUGGUGGGGUAAUGGCUUACCAAGGCGACGAUCGGUAGCUGGUCUGAGAGGAUGAUCAGCCACACUGGGACUGAGACACGGCCCAGACUCCUACGGGAGGCAGCAGUGGGGAAUAUUGGACAAUGGGCGCAAGCCUGAUCCAGCCAUGCCGCGUGAGUGAUGACGGCCUUAGGGUUGUAAAGCUCUUUCAACGGUGAAGAUAAUGACGGUAACCGUAGAAGAAGCCCCGGCUAACUUCGUGCCAGCAGCCGCGGUAAAGUCAC
Molecule: ribosomal RNA, 479 nt
Filed under: uncultured bacterium
Lineage: Bacteria
Description: bacterial SSU rRNA
Rfam family: Bacterial small subunit ribosomal RNA
Source: RNAcentral